GAUGAAGAACGCAGUGAAAUGCGAUAACUAAUGUGAAUUGCAGAAUUCAGUGAAUCAUCGAGUCUUUGAACGCACAUUGCGCCCCCUGGCAUUCCGGGGGGCAUGCCUGUCCGAGCGUCAUUGCUGCCCUUCAAGCCCGGCUUGUGUGUUGGGUCGUCGUCCCCCCCGGGGGACGGGCCCGAAAGGCAGCGGCGGCACCGCGUCCGGUCCUCGAGCGUAUGGGGCUUUGUCACCCGCUCGAUUAGGGCCGGCCGGGCGCCAGCCGGCGUCUCCAACCUUCUAUUUUACCAGGUUGACCUCGGAUCAGGUAGGGAUACCCGCUGAACUUAAGCAUAUCAAUAAGCGGAGGA
RNAcentral lists this unclassified non-coding RNA (350 nucleotides) under soil metagenome. RNAcentral's name for it is "partial contains 5.8S ribosomal RNA, internal transcribed spacer 2, and large subunit ribosomal RNA". The stretch from base 1 to 120 matches the Rfam family "5.8S ribosomal RNA", at positions 35 to 154 of the family's 154-position model. The record is from RNAcentral.